GGGAUAUAGUUUGCUAGCUUAUGCAGGAUGCUGGCCUGGAGAUCCACUCCUUGGUGACAAGGUGGGAGGCUUUGAUCGCGAGGCAUGCAGUCAGAUUCUUGAUUCAGCUUGACCGUUUGUGGAGUAGAGCAAUAUUAAGGGCCCGCUAUGGUGGCUAGAGCCUCGGGACCCCCAUCCAUGCUCUCCAGGGUUGCUCUUUCAUAUGGAGGGAGAUUUGCACCCGUAGAUCC
RNAcentral lists this long non-coding RNA (230 nucleotides) under Elaeis guineensis (African oil palm). Its description in RNAcentral is "long non-coding RNA (EGUI_LNC008817)". Lineage: Eukaryota; Viridiplantae; Streptophyta; Magnoliopsida; Arecales; Arecaceae. The record is from RNAcentral.